AGAAAACAUAGCUGUAAACGGAAAUAAACAAACCAUGGAGUUUGUCCUGGACCCGAGCCAUCUGCUUGCAUCGCGAAAACCACGCGUCGCGCGACGCAAUGCUAGUAAAGUUUGCCAUCGCCACAAAACAGCAAAGCAAAACACAUGUUGGUAAAACAAACAACAACGGGGAUAACGGCUCGCCGGUCAACACCCUCGCUCGCGGUUCAGUUUCUAAAAACACAAAGGGGCUAAUGUCUCAACACAGCUACCAAACAUACACACCGCUAUAUGACUACUCCACAAUAACACAGUAGGAGUGCGCGCGCGCGGCGCCAGCGGGGGCACG
Molecule: long non-coding RNA, 328 nt
Filed under: Volvox carteri
Lineage: Eukaryota; Viridiplantae; Chlorophyta; Chlorophyceae; Chlamydomonadales; Volvocaceae
Description: long non-coding RNA (VCAR_LNC004109)
Source: RNAcentral